UUGCUCACAUCUUCCCUCUAACCGAGAUCAAGGGGGUUACAUCUCUCAUAUCCACUAGUGAAGGGAUUAGUGGAAAUAACUGUAUCA
Molecule: non-coding RNA, 87 nt
Filed under: unclassified sequences
Description: PhotoRC-II RNA
Rfam family: PhotoRC-II RNA
Source: RNAcentral